RNAcentral lists this ribosomal RNA (465 nucleotides) under uncultured bacterium. Its description in RNAcentral is "partial 16S ribosomal RNA". It matches the Rfam family "Bacterial small subunit ribosomal RNA", at positions 28 to 507 of the family's 1533-position model. The record is from RNAcentral.
GACGAACGCUGGCGGCGUGCUCAACACAUGCAAGUCGAACGGAAAGGCCCCUUUGGGGGUACUCGAGUGGCGAACGGGUGAGUAACACGUGAGUAACCUGCCCUUGACUUCGGGAUAACUUCAGGAAACUGGGGCUAAUACCGGAUAGGAAUCCUUGCUGCAUGGUGGGGGUUGGAAAGCUUCGGCGGUUUUGGAUGGACUCACGGCUUAUCAGCUUGUUGGUGGGGUAGUGGCUUACCAAGGCUUUGACGGGUAGCCGGCCUGAGAGGGCGACCGGCCACAUUGGGACUGAGAUACGGCCCAGACUCCUACGGGAGGCAGCAGUGGGGAAUAUUGCACAAUGGGCGGAAGCCUGAUGCAGCAACGCCGCGUGCGGGAUGACGGCCUUCGGGUUGGAAACCGCUUUCAGCAGGGGCGAAGCUUGUGGUGACGGUACCUGCAGAAGAAGCACCGGCUAACUACGUG